RNAcentral lists this ribosomal RNA (301 nucleotides) under uncultured bacterium. RNAcentral's name for it is "partial 16S ribosomal RNA". It matches the Rfam family "Bacterial small subunit ribosomal RNA", at positions 509 to 807 of the family's 1533-position model. The record is from RNAcentral.
CAGCCGCCGCGGUAAUACGGAGGGAGCUAACGUUGUUCGGAAUUACUGGGCGUAAAGCGCACGUAGGCGGCUUGGUAAGUUAGAGGUGAAAGCCUGGAGCUCAACUCCAGAAUUGCCUUUAAGACUGCCGAGCUAGCAGGUGAGAGAGGUAAGUGGAAUUCCGAGUGUAGAGGUGAAAUUCGUAGAUAUUCGGAAGAACACCAGUGGCGAAGGCGGCUUACUGGCUCAUACUGGACGCUGAGGUGCGAAAGCGUGGGGAGCAAACAGGAUUAGAUACCCGAGUAGUCCCUGUCUCUUAUAC